This 274-nucleotide ribosomal RNA is filed under the name uncultured bacterium. Its description in RNAcentral is "partial 16S ribosomal RNA". It matches the Rfam family "Bacterial small subunit ribosomal RNA", at positions 523 to 796 of the family's 1533-position model. The record is from RNAcentral.
AUACGGAAGGUGCAAGCGUUAUCCGGAAUCACUGGGUUUAAAGGGUGCGUAGGCGGCCCUAUCAGUCAGAGGUGAAAUCCUGCGGCUCAACCGUAGCAUUGCCUUUGAUACUGUAGGACUUGAAUCAGGCUGAGGUCAGCGGAAUGUGACAUGUAGCGGUGAAAUGCAUAGAUAUGUCAUAGAACACCAAUUGCGAAGGCAGCUGACUAGACCUGGAUUGACGCUGAGGCACGAAAGCGUGGGGAGCGAACAGGAUUAGAAACCCCAGUAGUCC